Molecule: long non-coding RNA, 1538 nt
Filed under: Equus caballus (horse)
Lineage: Eukaryota; Metazoa; Chordata; Mammalia; Perissodactyla; Equidae
Description: lncRNA (ENSECAG00000045169.1)
Source: RNAcentral
UACUCCCCAACCCACCAGGCACUCUGUCCUGUGUCCUGGAUUUGGCGCUCACCUGAGUAGACUCCCUAGAUUUCUCUGGAAAAUAGGGAUCCUGAGGGUUGUAGGGCUGUCAGUUAAAAUGCUUGGUGGGAGGAAGGUAGGAGAAGUAGGGGGCCCCUCAGUGAAGUGGUCCAGAGUCGGGUGGCCUGUAUGAAAGAAGCGCCACAGGUCUCUCUCCCUUGGAUCUUUGUCUUGCUUCUUCUCUCCCCAAAUUUCUCCACUUUCCAUCUGUCCACCUGCAAACAUUUUUACUUGGCUUGAGUCUGAACUCUACACUUCCAGGGGGAUGCCAACAGAUGGAGUUACAUCUUGAGGAGAGGGAGCUGUCACGGGAGAAGCAGUUGGAGGAAAAUGCAGGACUUUCACCAAGAGUAAGAGCAUGAGAGGGCUGUCCUGAAGGAGGUCUCCACAUGCUUCAGAGCGCAGAGCCCCUUUGCAACAGGUAUCUGCUCUUGUGGCCCGAAGAAUCCUAAUUCACUCCCACGUUGUGCGGUUGGCCUUCGUUGCCUGCCCAUCUGGAAAACUCCUAAGUGUCAGAGUUCAGAGGAGGCUUAGAGACCACAGGCUCAUCCUGCAGUUGGUGAAACCGAGGUCCCAGGAGGGAGGAAGAAUGCCAAGGUCACAUGAACCGUGGACUGCAAAAUCCAGAGGCUCUCGCCAGCAAGGAUCUCAAAGCACAAAUCUCAGAAUCUCGGCGCUGUUAAGGGGCCUUGGAGACAUCUGGUCCAGCUACCUCUCUCCUGAGAUGGAAACACAGAAACAUAGAGCCUCAGAGUAGGAACAGAAAGUUGACUCUACUCCAGUCCAAUCUGACAGAAGAGGAAAUUGAAGCCCAGAGAAGGUGAGCAACUGGUGCAAGGUUGUACAGCAAGUUAGUUGAAGUGUUGAGACCAGAACACUGGUCCUGGCCUCACAGGCUGAGACUUGGCCUCUCUGUGGAGGCCUGGAGGAGAUGGGAGAAGACAUUGGAGGAAACAUUUGGACCAAAGCAAGGAUUUUCCAGAGAACUGUUUUUGAAAAAUCAAACCAAGAAGAAAAAUGAGAACGGGUACUGGCUUCCCUUUAUUUUCUGCCUUGUCUUCCUCUGGGCACUCACUCUCUGCAGCUCUCAGCCGGCCUCCAGCUCUGCUCACAAGCUGCUUCCAGCCGCCCACGGGCUUCCUAAAAUGGUCUCUGCAAGCUAAUUCCAGAGGGUGAAUGGCAGAGAGCAGGCCUUGGGGGCGGGGUGCGUUUCCUCAGCCGAGCGCAGGCACAGGGCGUCUCCCAUGCACAGAGCUGCCUGCCCCCAAUCCCAGUGCCCUCUCCAGGUGCUUCAGCCCCAUCCUGCCCUGGGGGGGGUGUGGGGUCCAGCUCCCACCUCUCACUGCCUCCUCCUCAGAAUAGGUUAUUUAUUUUUCCUUCUUAAAAAAUUAACUUUUACAAUUAUGUAAUAAUACAUAUUUAUCAUGAAACAAUCAGGAAAGUGUAAAGAAGAAAAUUAAGAUCACCUGUAAUCAACC